Molecule: ribosomal RNA, 466 nt
Filed under: uncultured bacterium
Lineage: Bacteria
Description: partial 16S ribosomal RNA
Rfam family: Bacterial small subunit ribosomal RNA
Source: RNAcentral
GAUGAACGCUGGCGGCGUGCUUAACACAUGCAAGUCGAACGGAAAGGCCACACUUUGCUGUGGUACUCGAGUGGCGAACGGGUGAGUAACACGUGGGUGAUCUGCCCUGUACUUCGGGAUAAGUUCGGGAAACUGGGGCUAAUACCGGAUAGGAAUCACAUGUGGGUGUGUGGUUGGGAAGCUUUUGCGGUAUGGGAUGAGCUCGCGGCCUAUCAGCUUGUUGGUGGGGUAGUGGCCUACCAAGGCGUCGACGGGUAGCCGGCCUGAGAGGGUGUACGGCCACAUUGGGACUGAGAUACGGCCCAGACUCCUACGGGAGGCAGCAGUGGGGAAUAUUGCACAAUGGGCGGAAGCCUGAUGCAGCGACGCCGCGUGCGGGAUGACGGCCUUCGGGUUGUAAACCGCUUUCGUCAGGGACGAAGCGAGAGUGACGGUACCUGGAAAAGAAGCACCGGCUAACUACGUG